Triticum dicoccoides is the source of this 2388-nucleotide RNA transcript. RefSeq lists it as uncharacterized. NCBI's taxonomy places the organism in Eukaryota, Viridiplantae, Streptophyta, Magnoliopsida, Poales, Poaceae. The record is from RefSeq and is a predicted model, not a curated record. The transcript has 8 exons.
CCAGGCCGCAGACAAGAACCAGAUUAGUUUUACCAGAUCCCUUCCGCCCCCCACCCGCUCUACCGCGCCCAAGAGGAUUCAAAAGGGAGCGGCGGCGGCGAGAGGCCCGGCGCCGACCGCAACCCUAGCCCGAAUCAGCACCCGCCGGCCGACGCUUCCGGAGGGAGCCGCUGCGGCGGCCGAGGCCGACGACAAGGCGCGGCGCCCGUUCACGGCCCUCAGCCAGGUUCACGCCGACCUCAUCCUGGCGUGCGUCCCCCAGGAGCAGGCAAGCUGGCUAGAUCUCGCGUCCCCGGCGGUCCCGUUCCCGUCCCUGGGGUUCGGAGGAGAGGGCGGAUGAACGGAGGCGGCGAGGCCAGCGAUCAUGGGAGCUCGGAGGGCGCGCCUCGUCGUCGGCCUCAGCCAGGUCCACGCCGACCUAGCCCUGGCGAGCAAGUUGGCUAGAUCUCGCGGCCCUGGCCGUCCCGUCCCCGUAGCUCCCGCUGGGCCUGGUUGGCUGUUUGCUGAUUGGCCUGGUUACUAAUGUGCGUAGGCCACAAUUCCAGGAUGCUAAAAUUGAGUGCGGUCACCACGCAUACAACCAAACAUAGCUACUGCAUGAAAUCACGAUCGUACGUGGUGGAGGCGGCAGCGGCAGCGGCAGCGGCAGCGAAUAGGUCAUUAGGGCAUGGCAGGGCGGCUGCCAUGGGCCGGCGAGGUGGUGAACAGCGACUCAGCGAGGCCGUGAGGAUAUGGGUAUAUAAAGGAAUUGAUCUUGCUGAAAUUAAGAAAGAAUUUCAAAAUAUACCAAGAAGAAUGCCUUUGCCACAGUCAAUAAAGCUUUAUUAUAGACAUCUUUAUGCGUGUCUUAGUUAAUAAUAAAGAUGAUAAAUUGGUGAUCUGUAAUCCAUAUAAUCUUCAUUUAGUGAGGAAUGGAAAGGUCACAUGGUUGAGGAUCUAUGCUUGUUGUGGUUGCAGUCCUGUGGAUCAAGGUGUUGUUCUCGAGUGCUAGAGUAAUUUGGUUAUCCUGUCGGCUCCCAGCUUCCAGGUUCUAAUUAUAUGUGGUUCCAGUCCUGUGGAUCAACAUGUUGUUCUUGGAUGCUAGAUUAAUUUGGUUAUCCUAUCGGCUCCCAGCUUCCAUUAUAUGAGGACUUGGUGCUUUACUGUCGGUUGUUUUGUUCGGUCCUCUUGUUUUCUGAUUCUUUGCUUCAUGUGUUUCGCAUGUUGAUAUGCCUGUCCUUGUUAGGUUGCGUCGCUUGUGGCUCUGGGGUUUCUUGUUCUUCUUUGAUUAUGAUGUUUGUUGGCUGAUUCUAUUCCAUCUUGCUUUUUCAGGACUGUAUGUUGUUGGUUGGUCUGUGCUGUUCUUCUUUUAUCGUCUAUAGGUGGGACAUGCUCUUUACCCUGCAUUUUUGUAUCCUUUUUAGGCUGUCGGUUUUCCAUUCCGGGUAUAUAAAUUCCUUCUAUUGGAUGCUUUGGUGGACACAAAAGCUUAACACAUGUUACAUCGUGCUAUUUGACUCCUUUCGUGUGUCAUAUAGAACAUCCAUAUGAGAUAAAGCAAAAAGGCAGAGACCAAAUAUAAGAGCUGAGGGAUAUGUGGAAGAGGGACGGGAUGAGCUUGCGGCUUACGAGCCAUUCAAAUAAUCAGACAUGCAUGGUUUCUUGGUUUUUCACUUGUUGAAUCUGUUAACCUGAAGAUUUUUUUUCUUCUUUGCGGCAAACUCCAGGGUAAAAUAUAAAACAGAAUCUGUCACCUGAAGGCAUUCUGUCGAGGCCUUGCUCAGAGGUUGGAUGAUUACGAGCAAGAUGCAAGGACACAAAAAGCUUGGGAUGCAGAAAGGUUAGACGCGAGCUGCCGCUAGCGCACGGUGGCGUGCUGCAUCUCCCAUCGGUGCUUGCGACAGGAGAACUACAUCCCUGGCCUAUUCAUCUAUGCCUCAGCUGCUGCCUCUCCAAGUAAUGCCAAACCUAUAGGCUAUAACAGGUGUAUGGAUGCCGACAUUCAGACUGGUCAGCUAAGAGACCAGGACACGGAAUCUGGAGAGGUCCUGGUCAUCAGCUGGUCCAUCAUGAGUGUAAGGUUGAUUUUGACAUGAUGUUGAUGUCCCAAGCUGAAUUUCAAGAUACUCGUGGCAGCAAUUUCCCAUAGAAGUGUUGUGGUUUAGUUCGCUAUACUGUUAGAAUUACGCGAGGUGUGCGUGUAUCAUCGGGGUGGUGCUGAGUCAACUAAAAGUCAGAGGCGCUAAUAUGUGUGCAUUACCUACUGUUGUAUAUUUUUCAAUCAUGCACUCUGUUCUCUUAAUGAUUAACUGUGAAUGAAAUGGAUGAGGGCAAUAAUGUUCAUGUGCUAGAACAGAACUCUGGAAACUUGAAUGGAAAGAACCUUUAAAGCAGGUGAUUACCGAGAAA